Molecule: transfer RNA, 77 nt
Filed under: Bacillus pumilus ATCC 7061
Lineage: Bacteria; Bacillati; Bacillota; Bacilli; Caryophanales; Bacillaceae
Description: tRNA-Gln
Rfam family: tRNA
About the family: Transfer RNA (tRNA) molecules are approximately 80 nucleotides in length. Their secondary structure includes four short double-helical elements and three loops (D, anti-codon, and T loops).
Source: RNAcentral
UUGGGCUAUAGCCAAGCGGUAAGGCAACGGACUUUGACUCCGUCAUGCGUUGGUUCGAAUCCAGCUAGCCCAGUUGA